Molecule: ribosomal RNA, 824 nt
Filed under: Salmonella enterica
Lineage: Bacteria; Pseudomonadati; Pseudomonadota; Gammaproteobacteria; Enterobacterales; Enterobacteriaceae
Also listed under: 1 other name
Description: partial 23S ribosomal RNA
Rfam family: Bacterial large subunit ribosomal RNA
Source: RNAcentral
UAGCUUGACACUGAACAUUGAGCCUUGAUGUGUAGGAUAGGUGGGAGGCUUUGAAGCGUGGACGCCAGUCUGCGUGGAGCCGACCUUGAAAUACCACCCUUUAAUGUUUGAUGUUCUAACGUGGACCCGUAAUCCGGGUUGCGGACAGUGUCUGGUGGGUAGUUUGACUGGGGCGGUCUCCUCCUAAAGAGUAACGGAGGAGCACGAAGGUUGGCUAAUCCUGGUCGGACAUCAGGAGGUUAGUGCAAUGGCAUAAGCCAGCUUGACUGCGAGCGUGACGGCGCGAGCAGGUGCGAAAGCAGGUCAUAGUGAUCCGGUGGUUCUGAAUGGAAGGGCCAUCGCUCAACGGAUAAAAGGUACUCCGGGGAUAACAGGCUGAUACCGCCCAAGAGUUCAUAUCGACGGCGGUGUUUGGCACCUCGAUGUCGGCUCAUCACAUCCUGGGGCUGAAGUAGGUCCCAAGGGUAUGGCUGUUCGCCAUUUAAAGUGGUACGCGAGCUGGGUUUAGAACGUCGUGAGACAGUUCGGUCCCUAUCUGCCGUGGGCGCUGGAGAACUGAGGGGGGCUGCUCCUAGUACGAGAGGACCGGAGUGGACGCAUCACUGGUGUUCGGGUUGUCAUGCCAAUGGCACUGCCCGGUAGCUAAAUGCGGAAGAGAUAAGUGCUGAAAGCAUCUAAGCACGAAACUUGCCCCGAGAUGAGUUCUCCCUGAGACUUAGAGUCUCCUGAAGGAACGUUGAAGACGACGACGUUGAUAGGCCGGGUGUGUAAGCGCAGCGAUGCGUUGAGCUAACCGGUACUAAUGAACCGUGAGGCUUAACCUU